RNAcentral lists this ribosomal RNA (235 nucleotides) under uncultured bacterium. RNAcentral's name for it is "partial 16S ribosomal RNA". It matches the Rfam family "Bacterial small subunit ribosomal RNA", at positions 14 to 240 of the family's 1533-position model. The record is from RNAcentral.
GUAUCAUGGCUCAGGAUGAACGCUAGCUACAGGCUUAACACAUGCAAGUCGAGGGGCAGCAUGGUCUUAGCUUGCUAAGGCCGAUGGCGACCGGCGCACGGGUGAGUAACGCGUAUCCAACCUGCCUUACACUCUUGGACAGCCUUCUGAAAGGGAGGUUAAUACAAGAUGUUAUCAUGAGUAAGCAUUUUCGCAUGAUUAAAGGUUUACCGGUGUAAGAUGGGGAUGCGUUCCA